Non-coding RNA from Schizosaccharomyces pombe (fission yeast), 773 nucleotides. Lineage: Eukaryota; Fungi; Ascomycota; Schizosaccharomycetes; Schizosaccharomycetales; Schizosaccharomycetaceae. The record is from the annotation of a GenBank genome assembly.
UUAAAUCCGUAUUCCUCGACUUCUUGCAUGCGCUCAGCCUUAAUUCGUUUGGACCGUUGAUGCCUUUUCCAAAGAAAAAUUCCUAAACCAAUCAAAAUUAGAACUACACCAACAGGAAUAGCAACAGAACAACCAACAACUACGCCGACAUGAUUGCUUGACUUGUUAGAUUUACUGGGCAAAGUGCCACUGGAAGAAUAAGAAGAGCUAAUAGGCGUAGACGAAGUGCUGGAAGUGAAAGAACUGGAGGAAUUCCAAUUAUUAGUAGUAGUGGGGGUCACCACUUCAGAAACGUAAGAAGUUGAGACCAAUGUGAUUAUUGAGGGUCCAUCUCGAUACGUACUACUGACAAUGCUGGCUGAAGAACUCAAGCCGCUCGUAGUCAUGGAAGAGCUGUGGUAGGAAGAACUAGAUGAUGGGACACUAGACGAAUGGCUUAAGGAACUACUGGACAUCCCACUGGAGGAACUACUAGCGACAAGAGAACUACUGCUGCUGCUAAGCGCGUGACUCGAACUACUGGAGGUCGGGGAAGCACUGCUACUGGAAGUCAGUGUAGCACUGCUACUAGAGGUCAAUGAAGCACUGCUACUAGAGCUUUGUUGGCUGCUUGAUGAGACCAAAGAUGUGAUAAAAGAAGAAGAAGCAGGAGAAGUAAAAGAUGAGGAUGAAAGAGGUGAAGACGAUGAUGAAGAACUAAUUGCAGUAGCACUAGACGAUGAAAGCAUAGAGCUCGAACUAGAAGGAAUCACGCUUGAGCUACUCAAACUCGU